AUUGAACGCUGGCGGCAGGCCUAACACAUGCAAGUCGAGCGGAUGAAGGGAGCUUGCUCCUGGAUUCAGCGGCGGACGGGGGAGUAAUGCCUAGGAAUCUGCCUGGUAGUGGGGGAUAACGUCCGAAAACGGGCGCUAAUAUCGCGUACGUCCUGAGGGGGAAAGUGGGGGGUGUUCGAACCUCACGCUAUCAGAGGAGCUUAGGUCGGCUUAGCUAGUUGGUGGGGUAAAGGCCUACCAAGGCGACGAUCCGUAACUGGUCUGAGAGGAUGAUCAGUCACACUGGAACUGAGCCACGGUCCAGACUCCUACGGGAGGCAGCAGUGGGGAAUAUUGGACAAUGGGCGAGAGCCUGAUCCAACGAUGCCACGUGUGUUAAGAAGGUCUUCGGAUUGUAAAGCACUUUAAGUUGGGAGAAAGCGCAGUAAGUUAAUACCUUGCUGUUUUGACGUUACCAACAGAAUAAGCACCGGCUAACUUCGUG
This 484-nucleotide ribosomal RNA is filed under the name uncultured bacterium. Its description in RNAcentral is "partial 16S ribosomal RNA". It matches the Rfam family "Bacterial small subunit ribosomal RNA", at positions 30 to 507 of the family's 1533-position model. The record is from RNAcentral.